CACAGGGGUUGCGAGCGUUGUCCGGAAUUACUAGGCGUAAAGGGCAGGCAGGCGGAUCCAUAAGUUUAUCGUUUAAGGCGUCGGCUUAACCGGCGUAGGGCGGUAGAUACUGUGGAUCUGGAAUGCGGUUGGGGAAGACAGAAUUCCUGGUGUAGCGGUGGAAUGCGCAGAGAUCAGGAGGAAUACCGAAGGCGAAGGCAGUCUUCCAAGCCGUUAUUGACGCUCAACUGCGAAGGUGUGGGUAUCAAACAGGAUUAGAUACCCGUGUAGUCCCU
RNAcentral lists this ribosomal RNA (275 nucleotides) under uncultured prokaryote. RNAcentral describes it as "partial 16S ribosomal RNA". It matches the Rfam family "Bacterial small subunit ribosomal RNA", at positions 524 to 798 of the family's 1533-position model. The record is from RNAcentral.